Non-coding RNA from Chlorocebus sabaeus (green monkey), 2418 nucleotides. The record is from RefSeq and is a predicted model, not a curated record. Lineage: Eukaryota; Metazoa; Chordata; Mammalia; Primates; Cercopithecidae.
CUCACCCACUGUACUCCAACCUGGCAACAGAGUAAGAUCCUAUCUCCAAAAACAAUUUUUAAAAACCAAGUAGACGGGUGUCCUGGUGGCAUGAUAGGUCCUGGGUCCUCUUCUAGAUCUGUAACCUUGGACAGGUGACUUUUCCUCUGGACCUCAGUGUUCCCAUCUGAGUGAGAAAAGGCAGUGGGGAGGCAGAUCUUCGAGUCUAAGUGGUGUAGAAGCCACAUCUGAAAAGCCAUACUUGGGGCUCCAAGCCCAGCGUACAGUCCCAGCAGGGCCCGGCAGGGCGGCCAGGGCAGCACAGGCAUUAGGUUCCACCCUUCUUCCCUCUUUGCCCAUUCUCAGACCAAGGAAUUCAUCUCAGAGCUGCUGUCCAACCUGUACUCACAUGGGGACUGGAACACACUGAUAGAGGAGUCAGCAGAGCAGGCACAGUGGGGCGACAAGAUGCUGCACAUGCACCACAUGCUGACGGAGGUGCUCAGCAUCAUUGGCGACAUCAACACGACCACCGUCAACACGACCACUGUCAGCACGCCCAGGGGGGCCCGUGGAUGACUCCUGGCUGCAGGUGCAGAGCAUCCCGGCCAGAUGCAGGAAGGGCCCAGCCUCACCUAUGUGACCUGCAGUCCCCCAACAAGCUGAGGCUUCCCUCUUAGACUUACAAAUCUAUGGCCAGUGGCAUCUGGCUGCCUGCCCUUCUUGCCUACCCAACGGUCCUCUCAGAGGGUCCUGGGCUUUCUGAUGGCCCAGAGGGGCCUCCGGCGCUCAAUCCAACCAUCCAUCCCUUUUAGCGUCAUCAUUCUGGUUCAAGCAGUAUUCCUUCCCUAUCAGGCCUGGUGGCUGUUGCUUGGGGCUCCCCAAGGUGAGGGGUGGCCCUGGGCCAGUGUGUUGGAAGACAGGGUAACCAGAGAAAAGGGAAGCCUGAGGGGACUGAGCAUUGGUCUGAACUGUGGGUGCACUGCCUGGAUGCCGUGGGAGAGGCGUAUGUGGGGUGUGGAGGGCCGCUGCAGCCCCCAGGCACUACCUGUGAAGCUCCGGCUCUUCCUUCCAUCUUCCUUCCUUUUCCCUUCCAGCCCCUUUUCCAGGAACCUUACUACACACCCGCACCUGCGCCCUCCCCUCCCUGGCCCUCACACAGCUCUUGCAGUGUGCCCAUGCUCUGCGCUUGCCUCACCAGCAAUCUGCUUCUUUCUGCUUCUCUCGAACUGCCCGCUGAUCAGGUCAGGCAAGUCCAUCCUGUCCUGAGAGUCCCAGGCCCUGCUUCGACCUCUAAACAGAUCUCUCCUCUUCUCGGAGGCCUCCCUUUCCAAGCCUGCCUGUGCAGGUGUCCUGUGACUUGACAGUGGAUCCCCAGUCCCAAAGCCUUCAUCUGUGACUUAGUCUGUUGUAGUGCUGAGCUGACACUUCCAGGUGUGACCAUUGCUGAAAACUUGUGUCCCCUCUGUGGUAUGCCCCUGCCCUGUUCUAUAAAUAGCUAUAAAUACUCAUAUAUAUUUUUUUAUAUAUAUAUAUAUAUGCGCACACCUAUACAUGGCCGAUGGCCUCGCCUCUAGCACUGGGAAUAAGUCCCAGUGCUGUCCUUGUGGAGUCUUGUGGCCCAACAAGAGAAAGCUGUCCCCUGACAUCACCCCUCCAAAGUGCCACCUCCAGUGAGCCUGUCAUGUGGACAGCCAGCCCCCGCCAUCCCUCCCACCCUCCACCAAGCAUGGGGGUGCUGUGCAGGCAGCUGCGUGGACUGACAGUCUUCCAGUCCUGCUGUCCCUCGGCUGAGAAACCCAUUUCUGGAUGACGGGGAAUGUGUCCUCUGCUGGCUGUGUUCUCUGUGGAGCUCAGGGGAGGGGAAAGGCCAAGCCAUUUCUAGGGUGCUGUUGGGAGUGGUGAAAAGGCUACAGCCUUUCCAAGGGACACAUUUCCUGGAAAGUCCCUGGAGUUUAGCUGGCUCUUAUGCUGUGAAGCCGGCUCUGGCCACUAGGGGGCAGGGUCAUGAACUCAGCCUGGAGGGAGACUGAGGGGCAGCCUGCACUCUGUAAGGACAGACAGAACAGGCCACCCAGUGCAGACAGGAGAGGGAGGUAGGCGGACGGAAGGGAAGACACCUGGGGUAGAUGGAAGUCAGUGCCCUUGGGUGCUGGUAUCUGUCUUCCCGGCCACAGCUAGAUCAGGCUUCUGAGCCUGUUGGCUGUCAGGGCCGGACUGUGCCCCAUAGGUGCCAUGGCAGUCCCCAUCAAAUCCACCAGGCGUCACCAGGCAGCAUAGAGGUAACAGGCCUGGAAGAUCCCCAACAGCCCAGCUGGACAUGCUCAGACACUCUGGGGCUCCUCGUUCUGUGGGACAAACUGCAGGACCCAGUGAGGGAAACAGGAACACACCAGGCUGAGCUGUAUGGCUAAAUCCAUUUAUUCCACAAUGAAAAGC